UUAAUCUUUUUCAGUGGUCCAUAUAAUCUACUUGAUUCAGACUAUUCUUACGAAAAUGUGAUGUACUAUCAUAAGAAUGUAAUUCUUCGCAAAUAUACUUGUUGAACUCGAUUCCAAAUCUUUAUCUAGUAUGAACAACAUUGAAUUCCUUCUCCAUGCCAUUUUGAAAGAAUAAGAUGCAUUACUCGUUAGUGUUAUCAGUUAAGCAAAUAUAUUUGUUGUUAACAAACAUUCUUAAAAAUAUUCUGACAGAAUGCAUUUAUACAUUCUAUGUUUUAGAAUAUUUAUACAUAAAAUACAUUCUAUUAGAAUAUACUAUUUUUCGCCAUGUUUUCUUUCUUUUCCAUAUUAGAAUGCAAAAAUCUGUUCAUUCUAUGCGAAUAUAAAUAUUACAUAAAACAUGUGUUGCUAGUAAUUCACAAAAUGCACAUCAUAUGGUUAGAUUCUUUUUUAGGCAUUUCAACAAACAUUUGUUAGGCAUUAUUAUAAUACAUUCUAUAAUACCAAAAUACACUUUUGCAAUGUGAAAUUUGGGAUUUGCAAAACAUGAAAGUUGUGUAAGGAACUUACUAAUAUGCAAAUUUUCAAAACACUAAACUUUUAUGAUUAUUUAUAAAACCAUUUAAUAUUAAUAUUACAACAAAACAUUGACUCAAUUUACCUCAAAAAAGUAAUGGAGAUUUGGUGGUUGUGGUUCGAAGGAUAUUCAAUUUUAAUAAUAAAGUUAUUAGUUUAUGAUUGUAGUGGAAGAAUUUGAUACUAACCUAUCACAAAUAGUGCUUCAUUACACACUUACAAGCGUCGAUACAAAUAACAUAAAACUAAUUCAAGUGACAUCACAUGUAGAAAUGAAUUUUGAAAUCACUAUGAAUCGAAUUAUCAAUUGUCAAAUAUGGACACUGAAUUACAGAAUUACAUAAUUAGUGAUGUGAAUCAAAUAAAUUAGGAUAUAAGAUAUAUGAAUCGUGAGAAGGGUAUAUACAAAGAAGAUAUCAAUUUUUAUUUAAUGAAAUUGUAAGAACUGAGGAAAGGAAAAGAAAUUUACCUUUGUAUUGGAAUUGAAACCCCCAAUCGAUUGAACAAGGUACGAUCGUCGUGAUUACAUGAAGAACGAAAGUCACAAAAUAUGGGUUAAUUAUUAGGUUACCUGUAUUAGGUUAAGUAUGCCUUCUCAUGUACUUGUGAUUCAUGCUCAAAAUAUGGGCCUAUAUAUUAUAUAUGUAAACUGGACCAAACUUGGAUGAGAGUAUUUGACGAAGAAGAAAAUAUUGGGAACAAGACGAUGGUG
Molecule: long non-coding RNA, 1288 nt
Filed under: Lactuca sativa (garden lettuce)
Lineage: Eukaryota; Viridiplantae; Streptophyta; Magnoliopsida; Asterales; Asteraceae
Description: long non-coding RNA (LSAT_LNC007584)
Source: RNAcentral